Molecule: ribosomal RNA, 107 nt
Filed under: uncultured bacterium
Lineage: Bacteria
Description: partial 16S ribosomal RNA
Rfam family: Bacterial small subunit ribosomal RNA
Source: RNAcentral
AGCCUUGUACACACCGCCCGUCAAGUCAUGGGAGCUGGUAGUACCCGAAGUCCGCUUAGCUAACCGUAAGGAAGCGGCGGCCGACGGUAAGACCGGUGACUGGGACU